AUCCAGCUGACGAGUCCCGAAUAGGACGAAACGCGCGCCUUGGAC
RNAcentral lists this non-coding RNA (45 nucleotides) under Schistosoma margrebowiei. Lineage: Eukaryota; Metazoa; Platyhelminthes; Trematoda; Strigeidida; Schistosomatidae. The record is from RNAcentral.